Molecule: small nuclear RNA, 117 nt
Organism: Corchorus capsularis
Lineage: Eukaryota; Viridiplantae; Streptophyta; Magnoliopsida; Malvales; Malvaceae
Rfam family: U5 spliceosomal RNA
About the family: U5 RNA is a component of both types of known spliceosome. The precise function of this molecule is unknown, though it is known that the 5' loop is required for splice site selection and p220 binding, and that both the 3' stem-loop and the Sm site are important for Sm protein binding and cap methylation.
Source: Rfam
AGUCGUGUGGUGAGCACAGAGCGAACUAUUCUUUCGCCUUUUACUAAAGAAUACCGUGUGCUCGCUACUUAAAACGGCAUACGCCAAUUUUUGGAGUGGGCAUUCUAAGGAAUGCCU